AAUGAACGUUGGCGGCAUGGAUUAGGCAUGCAAGUCGCGCGCGAAAUGUAGCAAUACAUGGAGAGCGGCGAAAGGGAGAGGAAUACGUGGGAACCUACCUUCGGGCCUGGAAUAGCGGCGGGAAACUGCCGGUAAUGCCAGAUGACGUCUCCGGACCAAAGGUGUGAUUCCGCCGGCAGCUGGGCCCACGUCCUAUCAGCUAGUUGGUGUGGUAAUGGCGCACCAAGGCUAAAACGGGUAUGGGGUGUGAGAGCAUGCCCCCACUCACUGGGACUGAGACACUGCCCAGACACCUACGGGUGGCUGCAGUCGAGAAUCUUCGGCAAUGAGCGCAAGCUUGACCGAGCGAUGCCGCGUGCGGGAUGAAGGCCUUCGGGUUGUAAACCGCUGUCGUAGGGGAAUAAUGGCCAAGGGGUACUCUUCUUGUUUUGAAUGAUCCUAGGAGGAAGGACGGGCUAAGUUCGUGCCAGCAGCCGCAGUAA
This 482-nucleotide ribosomal RNA is filed under the name uncultured bacterium. RNAcentral's name for it is "partial 16S ribosomal RNA". It matches the Rfam family "Bacterial small subunit ribosomal RNA", at positions 29 to 523 of the family's 1533-position model. The record is from RNAcentral.